Vicia villosa (hairy vetch) is the source of this 787-nucleotide long non-coding RNA. RefSeq lists it as uncharacterized. Lineage: Eukaryota; Viridiplantae; Streptophyta; Magnoliopsida; Fabales; Fabaceae. The transcript is spliced from 3 exons. The record is from RefSeq and is a predicted model, not a curated record.
CUCUCUUUAGAUAUUAGGUUUUGGUUUUGUCAUCUCUCUUCUCUUUCUUCAUCUCUCCUUUUGUAAUAAACCCUAAUUUUCAAAUUUUGUAAAGUUCAUAUCUGUCCACAAUCACAAAUUUUCAAUUCCUUUUUCUCUUUUGUUCCAUCCGUUCAUUCCGUUUUUUAUUCAAAUUAUUUCGAUUAUUUUUAGUUGAUGGUUUCUUCUUUCAGACGAAGCGAUGGUGACGAAAUGAUACAUCAAGUUUAACGAUUCUCAAUGAUGGGUCAACAUCCAGAUCUAUUUUUAUGUAUUCAGGAACUUGAAGAUCCCCUCAUCAAUAUCCUUGAGAAGAAAUCUCAAAUAUAAAUGUUAUAGUUAAAGUUACUAGAGUUUUGCUUAUUUAAUUUGGUAUUUCUUUUAAGGUAUGAUAUGUUUUCUCUAUAUUCAAAUUAUUACUGAAGACCUCGGCCACAAUCUGGAAAUGUUUGGCUGUUGCAAAAGGUAUUUGUUUAGCUUUAUUAUUGUAUGAUUUUAAUGCCCAGUCAACUUUUGAUAAACUUCUUUGGUUGAUGUCCAUGAAAUCUUGGUUUUGGUAAAGAAUGCAGACUUUCCUUGAUUAAUGUGAGCAUGUUUAUUUAAAUCUCCUAUUUAAUUUCCAAAUAUGACACUGUCAUUCUUGACGGUAUCAGAGUUAAGAAAGAUAUCGAGAAAAUAUGUGAGCAGGUUUAUCUAAAUCUCCUAUUCGAUUUGAUUUUACCACUGUCAUAUAUAUCUAGGUUUGGUUUUUCAAUGACAUUUCUUAUGA